UACGGAGGGAGCUAGUGUUGUUCGGAAUUACUGGGCGUAAAGCGCACGUAGGCGGCUUUGUAAGUUAGAGGUGAAAGCCCGGGGCUCAACCCCGGAAUUGCCUUUAAGACUGCAUCGCUUGAAUCCGGGAGAGGUGAGUGGAAUUCCGAGUGUAGAGGUGAAAUUCGUAGAUAUUCGGAAGAACACCAGUGGCGAAGGCGGCUCACUGGACCGGUAUUGACGCUGAGGUGCGAAAGCGUGGGGAGCAAACAGG
This 253-nucleotide ribosomal RNA is filed under the name uncultured bacterium. Its description in RNAcentral is "partial 16S ribosomal RNA". It matches the Rfam family "Bacterial small subunit ribosomal RNA", at positions 524 to 776 of the family's 1533-position model. The record is from RNAcentral.